This 274-nucleotide ribosomal RNA is filed under the name uncultured bacterium. RNAcentral's name for it is "partial 16S ribosomal RNA". It matches the Rfam family "Bacterial small subunit ribosomal RNA", at positions 523 to 796 of the family's 1533-position model. The record is from RNAcentral.
AUACGGAGGGUGCGAGCGUUAAUCGGAAUUACUGGGCGUAAAGGGUGCGUAGGCGGCUUGAUAAGUCGGAUGUGAAAGCCCCGGGCUUAACCUGGGAAUUGCAUUCGAUACUGUCAGGCUAGAGUAUGUCAGAGGUUGGCGGAAUUCCUGGUGUAGCGGUGAAAUGCGUAGAUAUCAGGAGGAACACCAGUGGCGAAGGCGGCUAACUGGGAAAAUACUGACGCUGAGGCACGAAAGCGUGGGGAGCAAACAGGAUUAGAAACCCUAGUAGUCC